AACGGGGCCGCCGAAAACCGAACAGAGUAGGCA
This is a regulatory RNA element of Fibrisoma limi, 33 nucleotides long. It matches the Rfam family "DUF805b RNA". From Rfam's summary of the family: Bacteroidetes, Chlorobi (1 example), Proteobacteria. The record is from Rfam. NCBI's taxonomy places the organism in Bacteria, Pseudomonadati, Bacteroidota, Cytophagia, Cytophagales, Spirosomataceae.